UGAGGAAUAUUGGUCAAUGGGCGAGAGCCUGAACCAGCCAAGUAGCGUGCAGGACGACGGCCCUAUGGGUUGUAAACUGCUUUUAUAAGGGAAUAAAGUGAGUCUCGUGAGACUUUUUGCAUGUACCUUAUGAAUAAGGACCGGCUAAUUCCGUGCCAGCAGCCGCGGUAAUACGGAAGGUCCGGGCGUUAUCCGGAUUUAUUGGGUUUAAAGGGAGCGUAGGCCGGAGAUUAAGCGUGUUGUGAAAUGUAGACGCUCAACGUCUGCACUGCAGCGCGAACUGGUUUCCUUGAGUACGCAC
This 301-nucleotide ribosomal RNA is filed under the name uncultured Prevotella sp. RNAcentral's name for it is "bacterial SSU rRNA". It matches the Rfam family "Bacterial small subunit ribosomal RNA", at positions 355 to 653 of the family's 1533-position model. The record is from RNAcentral. Lineage: Bacteria; Pseudomonadati; Bacteroidota; Bacteroidia; Bacteroidales; Prevotellaceae.